AUCAAAAUGAUGAGGAACUGUUUGCUGAAAUUUAUUUGUUGAAGAUAAAUAUCAUAAGCCUUCAAAGUUCUCUGAUUGCG
This is a small nucleolar RNA of Solanum dulcamara, 80 nucleotides long. RefSeq annotates it as small nucleolar RNA R160. The transcript has a single exon. The record is from RefSeq and is a predicted model, not a curated record. Lineage: Eukaryota; Viridiplantae; Streptophyta; Magnoliopsida; Solanales; Solanaceae.